GUGGAUGUAGCUCAAUAGGCGGAGCAGCUGAUUGUGGAUCAGCAGGUUGAGGGUUCGAGCCCCUUCAUCCACC
This 73-nucleotide transfer RNA is filed under the name Anaerolineae bacterium. RNAcentral's name for it is "tRNA-His". It matches the Rfam family "tRNA". Rfam says of the family: Transfer RNA (tRNA) molecules are approximately 80 nucleotides in length. Their secondary structure includes four short double-helical elements and three loops (D, anti-codon, and T loops). Further hydrogen bonds mediate the characteristic L-shaped molecular structure. tRNAs have two regions of fundamental functional importance: the anti-codon, which is responsible for specific mRNA codon recognition, and the 3' end, to which the tRNAs corresponding amino acid is attached (by aminoacyl-tRNA synthetases). tRNAs cope with the degeneracy of the genetic code in two manners: having more than one tRNA (with a specific anti-codon) for a particular amino acid; and 'wobble' base-pairing, i.e. permitting non-standard base-pairing at the 3rd anti-codon position. The record is from RNAcentral. Lineage: Bacteria; Bacillati; Chloroflexota; Anaerolineae.